CGUUACUGAAGCUCAUAAUUAUUCUCUUGGCCCUUUUGUACAUGGGUGACUGCUAUGCUCAGUCUUCCGGCAGCUUGAACGUUCUUCCCUGCACUCCCUGGGAAGCAUGUGGAGAACGCGAGCUUGUGAAUCACAUUCAGCUCAGUUUUACUUAGGAGGAUGCCCAGUGAGAUUGAGUAGCUUGUCCAAGGCCAUCCAGAUAAUAUGAGAUGGACCAACGAUUUGGCCCAACACUGUCAGAUUCAGAACCUCUACAUUUGCCAUGACCUGACUGUGUCUGCCUACGGCAUCUGCUUCCACACCACAUCUUUUAAACUCAUCAAAGACUCUGUGUGAACCUAGUGGGUUAUCUGGAGCCACGA
Mastomys coucha (southern multimammate mouse) is the source of this 362-nucleotide long non-coding RNA. RefSeq lists it as uncharacterized. Lineage: Eukaryota; Metazoa; Chordata; Mammalia; Rodentia; Muridae. The transcript is spliced from 3 exons. The record is from RefSeq and is a predicted model, not a curated record.